This is a long non-coding RNA of Triplophysa dalaica, 853 nucleotides long. RefSeq lists it as uncharacterized. The record is from RefSeq and is a predicted model, not a curated record. Lineage: Eukaryota; Metazoa; Chordata; Actinopteri; Cypriniformes; Nemacheilidae. The transcript is spliced from 3 exons.
GUGCUUGAACCUAAAGAUAAGCUUCAUUCACCAGCUAAAAACACAAGUAUGAAACCGUGCCAUCUAGUGGUGAAGGGUGGUAAAGGGAAAAUGAAAUGAAGCGAGAUUGGGUGCUUCUCAAUAUCCAUCCUUGUCUCCUCGCUCCUCUAUCCUCCAUCCUAUGACCCGGAAACCGAUCGAGCUCAGCCAUAUUGAAGGACAUCUCAAUUCUCUAAUUGCACCCGGAGGAGUCGAGGAUCGAGGAGGGAGGAGGCUUCCUGAGGAGUCAUGAGCGAGGAUACAAGGGUGUAUCCUAUGCGGAAGUUGUUUAUUGCCUAAACGUGUCGCACGUAUAAAUUCUCCUCCCACUUCACAUCUGCUCCAAGUGCUUACCAUGGCAGAACAUUCAAACACACAUAAAUGGACUGAUGAGGAGACUGAACAGUUAAUUAAAUUGAGGAUGGAGCUGGAUUCCGACUUCACUGGGAAGAGGAACAGUGCCAAAAAAGCCUGGAUGAGCUCCGCUGUCCUCCUACGGGAACGGAAACAGAUAGUGGGGAGGCCACAGCAGCCACAUGGCCGUGGUUUUCUGCGAUGCAUGAGGCUAUUGGGAGGAGGCCGUCUAUUGAGCCUCCCAUUCUGAUAGACUCAUGCGACGCAGAAGUCACUGGCAGUUCUGCUGUGUCCAAUGAGCCUGGCUUGUCACCAUCUGCAUCUGUGGAGGAAAGAGAGGAGGACUCCACAACCUCCGCGCUGUCUGGCACAGGCAACUUUAACAAGGAAAGACCCUGUACUUCUUCGGGUCCUCCGCCACCUAAAAAGAAAAGAACCAACAGAGUGCUAGAUUUUCUAGAAACGGAGACAGAAAAGGAGG